This 27-nucleotide unclassified non-coding RNA is filed under the name Mus musculus (house mouse). Its description in RNAcentral is "oocyte_clustered_small_RNA648". Lineage: Eukaryota; Metazoa; Chordata; Mammalia; Rodentia; Muridae. The record is from RNAcentral.
UAUUCAUGAUGGGAGUGUCCACACCAU